AGCAGCUUCUCCACUGUCAUCAAACUGGCCAUGUCCUGGCCCCGUCUCCACCAACCUUUGUGUGACAAAAACAAGGACAAAUUCCUGCUACUAAGACAUGCUGUUAACUCAGUCUGACUGGAAGAAUUUAGGACCACUGCAUCCUGUCUUAAUCCAAGGGUGGAUCCUUAGGGUGUUGACUGCUGCAGUUUCAAGCUUACAUCUGCACCCUGCAGAAUCC
Molecule: long non-coding RNA, 220 nt
Filed under: Homo sapiens (human)
Lineage: Eukaryota; Metazoa; Chordata; Mammalia; Primates; Hominidae
Description: non-protein coding EAF1-AS1:3
Source: RNAcentral